This 496-nucleotide ribosomal RNA is filed under the name uncultured bacterium. RNAcentral describes it as "partial 16S ribosomal RNA". It matches the Rfam family "Bacterial small subunit ribosomal RNA", at positions 28 to 507 of the family's 1533-position model. The record is from RNAcentral.
GAUGAACGCUGGCGGCGUGCCUAAUACAUGCAAGUCGAGCGAACAGACGAGGAGCUUGCUCCUCUGACGUUAGCGGCGGACGGGUGAGUAACACGUGGAUAACCUACCUAUAAGACUGGGAUAACUUCGGGAAACCGGAGCUAAUACCGGAUAAUAUAUUGAACCGCAUGGUUCAAUAGUGAAAGACGGUUUUGCUGUCACUUAUAGAUGGAUCCGCGCCGCAUUAGCUAGUUGGUAAGGUAACGGCUUACCAAGGCGACGAUGCGUAGCCGACCUGAGAGGGGGAUGGGCACAGUGGAAACUGAAAGCGGGUCCAGGCGCGAAGGGAGGGCAGCAGUGGGGAAGCUUGGGAAAGGGGGGGAAGACUGAAGGAGAAACGCGGGGGGGGGGAAGAAGGGUUUCGGGCGGUAAAACGGUGUUAUGGGGGAAGAAAAAAUGGGUAAGUAACGAAGCCGGUUUUACGGGAACCGAUAAAGAAGGCCAGGGUAAACCAGGG